CUGGACUAGAAUGUGAGGGAAUGUCGGGUAAUGCCGGCAGUCCGGGAAACCGGACCCAAAACAAGGUGCUGCAUGGCUGUCGUCAGCUCGUGUCGUGAGAUGUUGGGUUAAGUCCCGCAACGAGCGCAACCCUUAUCAACAGUUGCCAUCAUUUAGUUGGGAACUCUGUUGAGACUGCCGUUGAUAAAACGGAGGAAGGUGGGGAUGAUGUCAAGUCAGCACGGCGCUUACAUCCAGGGCUACACACACGCUACAAUGGCCGGUACAAAGGGCAGCGAUGGGGCGACCCGGAGCAAAUCCCGCCAAAGCCGGUCUCAGUUCGGAUUGUAGGCUGAAACUCGCCUGCAUGAAGUCGGAGUUGCUAGUAACCGCAGGUCAGCACACUGCGGUGAAUACGUUCCC
RNAcentral lists this ribosomal RNA (402 nucleotides) under uncultured bacterium. Its description in RNAcentral is "bacterial SSU rRNA". It matches the Rfam family "Bacterial small subunit ribosomal RNA", at positions 975 to 1375 of the family's 1533-position model. The record is from RNAcentral.